Onychostruthus taczanowskii (white-rumped snowfinch) is the source of this 299-nucleotide non-coding RNA. Lineage: Eukaryota; Metazoa; Chordata; Aves; Passeriformes; Passeridae. The record is from the annotation of a RefSeq genome assembly.
CUGCUGGAGUCCGGGGGGGACCUCCAGCCCCCCGGGGGGUCCCUGCGCCUCCUCUGCCGAGGGUCCGGCUUCGAUUUUUGGAGCUACGACAUGGACUGGGUUCGACAGAGACCCGGGCAGGGGCUGGAACUCAUCGCAUGGAUCAGGAACGAUGGUGGCAGCACCUGGUACGCGCCAUCGUUGAAGGGCCGGGUGACGAUCUCCAGGGACAACGGGCAGAGCUCGGUGACGCUGACCAUGAACAGCCUCAAGGACGAGGAUUCCGGAUCCUAUUUCUGUGCCAGAGCUUUUUGUGCCGG